GGUUCAUUCCACCAUGGACCACAUCCACCUGCCUCUCUAAAAAAAAUGCAAACCCCUGGUACAAAGUUAAAGAGCGCUAUGGCUCUAAGAAGAGUUAUCUCCACUCAGAUUCUAGGGGACAAGAUAAAGGAUAGAAAGCCACUGCACUAGAAAAAGAUGUUAAAUAAUACACACCCGCUGUAUAGGAAGUAAAAAAUACAGUGGAAGAAGUAGAAAUGGCCUGGAUCACAUCUCCGAGAAAUAUAACACUGCUGACAUGGUAGCACUGCCCUGCUGCAAUGCUUGAUCCAUGUGCGUCUAUAUUUACAUGUGCAGGUUGAAAUAUACUAUUUUAACUUACAGAACAGAUGGCAACACCAUCCAGUCACGAGGAUCACUGCUGUGAGGAUUAAAUCACCUCUAUCAACCUGGGAGCUCUCCGAGAUGUCUCGGGCCCCUGCUCCGUGGGAUGGAGAGAGCCUGCCGUGCCUGGUCGAGUAAGGACUCCAAGGGACAAGGCAGGCACAGCCGUCCUUGCCCCGACAGUGGAGGGUUUAGCAGCGGCUGCGGGGAUUAGGACUCACUCACCUCUUCGAGCCGCCAGGGAGAGUGGGCCCGGAGUCCUCCCCGCCCAGAACAGGACCCUCCUGGAGGUUAGAUGGGAGAGAAAAGCCACACAGAAUGGAAAGAAACUUGGAUGAAGGAGGAAAGGAAGACGAAAAGGUUUUGUUACCUUGCAUCAGAAGCAAAGAAGAAUUCCACGGCUUUGUCGCCCACAGCGUGAAGGCAGGUGGAGCUGUCCAGCCUCUUCAUCCUCUUUUUACAGAUAUUCUUCACAUUCUCAACAUUGCCUAGUAUAUAAAGGAAUC
This 848-nucleotide long non-coding RNA is filed under the name Heterocephalus glaber (naked mole-rat). RNAcentral describes it as "lncRNA (ENSHGLG00100049864.1)". Lineage: Eukaryota; Metazoa; Chordata; Mammalia; Rodentia; Bathyergidae. The record is from RNAcentral.